UACGGAGGGGGCUAGCGUUGUUCGGAAUUACUGGGCGUAAAGCGCACGUAGGCGGCUUUGUAAGUUAGAGGUGAAAGCCCAGGGCUUAACCCUGGAAUUGCCUUUAAGACUGCAUCGCUAGAAUCGUGGAGAGGUGAGUGGAAUUCCGAGUGUAGAGGUGAAAUUUGUAGAUAUUCGGAAGAACACCAGUGGCGAAGGCGACUCACUGGACACGUAUUGACGCUGAGGUGCGAAAGCGUGGGGAGCAAACAGG
RNAcentral lists this ribosomal RNA (253 nucleotides) under uncultured bacterium. RNAcentral describes it as "partial 16S ribosomal RNA". It matches the Rfam family "Bacterial small subunit ribosomal RNA", at positions 524 to 776 of the family's 1533-position model. The record is from RNAcentral.